Molecule: long non-coding RNA, 27921 nt
Filed under: Medicago truncatula (barrel medic)
Lineage: Eukaryota; Viridiplantae; Streptophyta; Magnoliopsida; Fabales; Fabaceae
Description: long non-coding RNA (MTRU_LNC004581)
Rfam family: MIR2680 microRNA precursor family (bases 14374-14541)
Source: RNAcentral
CUUCAUUGGCUAUUGUGAUGAAGGUGACAAGAUGGCACUGAUAUAUGAGUUUAUGGCCAAUGGAAACCUAAAAGAAAAUCUCUCAGGUAGGUCCUUCCAUGAUUUUGAUCACUGUACUUAAUUUACUUGGUGUAUUCUUUAUGACAUUUCUUAAUAUUUGAUGAAAGAAAUCAUGUUUCAAUGUGAUUUAAUAUGAUUGCAGAAAAAAGUUCACAUUGCUUGAGUUGGGAAAGAAGACUUCAAAUAGCAAUUGAUGCUGCAGAGGGUCAGUAUAUCUCCAUUUUUUAUUUUUUUAUCGUAGAAAAAAGUUCGCAUUGCUCUGCAAUCCAAGACAUACACACGAUUGGCCCAACUUUGUUACCAAAUUGUGUGUAUUUCUCUGUUUGCAUUUUCAUAUCUUUAUUCUUUGAAAAUUGCUCUUCUCCCAUCAAGAUUUGGUCACUCACAACUGAACUUCCGAAAAUACCCCCAACGUGACUUAAGUCACGCAGGUGUUAAACCCAACGCAACUUAAGUCACGUUCGCUACAUUGGUACAUCCCACGUGAGUUAUAACCCAGCGUGAGUUAAGUCAUGCAGGUUAUAACCCCAGUGUGAGUCAACUCAUGUCGGUCAUACUUCAGCUUACCAAACGUGAGCUAACACACGUGGGGGGUAUUUUGGUCAGUUUGUAUGGGCGUGAGUGUUUUUUGUUUGGAGAAGAGCAAUUUUAUUAUUCUUUUGAUUCGAGGCUGCUAUUCUGACAACUAUGUUAGUGUGACCAAUAACUAGUUGCAUUAUAUAUGCAUGAAUCUUUUUCAGCAACUAUUGUAAUUUUUUAUAAUGUUUUGACGAACGAUGUGUUUGGAUUGAAGGAUUGGACUACCUACACCAUGGAUGCAAGCCACCCAUAAUACACAGAGAUGUAAAAUCAGCCAACAUUCUUCUAAAUGAAGACUUAGAAGCUAAAAUAGCAGAUUUUGGACUCUCUAAGGUGUUUAAGAAUAGUGAUAUCCAAAAUGCGGAUUCUACAUUGAUUCAUGUUGAUGUGAGUGGCGAAAAAUCUGCAAUCAUGGGGACAAUGGGAUACCUUGAUCCAGAGUGAGUUAUUAUUCCAACUCAGUUCACAAAGUUACAGUUCAACUUAUCCUAAAACUAUUUUCGGUUCAGCUCGAAAACAUUAAACCGAUGCACUGAAACUUUAUACCACCAGUUCGGUUCGGUUUAGGAAGAACCAUUAAUAAUUCUUUUUCUAUUUUACCAGUAUUGAACAAUGAAGGAAAUGAAGAAAAGAGCUUAAAGGAAAAAGUCUAAAUUGUCCUCAUAGCAAAGUAGAUAACUUGCAAUACAAGAAACAAGCUUAGAGGACAAUUUAGACUUUUCCUUUCAUCUUUUUUCUCCAUUUCCUUCAUUGUUCAAUAACCAGACUGUUAAAACGGUUUGGUUCAAUUUUCUUCCAAAGACAAACCAUUAGUCCCACACGUCAUAAAUUAUUUUUAUAAAUGUAUCAGUACAUGAAAACCAUAUAAAAUAAAGUUUCAUCUUAUCAUGGUUUUGUCGAGUGAAUUUAACUGCUUUGUCAUUGAUACAGGUACUACAAAUUACAGACCUUGAAUGAAAAAAGUGACAUCUAUAGCUACGGAAUUGUUCUAUUGGAAUUAAUCACAGGUCUGCCAGCAGUGAUUAAAGGCAAGCCAUCAAAACACAUACUUGAGUUUGUAAGACCACGACUUAAUAAGGACGACUUGAGCAAAGUUAUAGAUCCAAGACUCGAAGGAAAAUUUGAUGUAAGUUCAGGAUGGAAAGUUUUAGGUUUAGCAAUUGCAUGUACUGCAUCAACCUCAAUCCAGAGACCGACAAUGAGUGUCGUGUUAGCUGAGCUGAAACAAUGUGUUAGAAUGGAGUCUCAUAGUGACAGGGAAAUAUUCGUGCCACCGAGAAAUAUAUACAGUGAAUUUUAUAGUUCAUCUGAUGCAUUUAACUCCGUAGAUAGUGAAUCUAUGACAUAUCCUGUCGCUAGGUAAUAGUGUACAUUGAGACACUCAGAAGUAUUCAUUUCAAUUUGUAAAUCUUAAUGAAACCAUAAGAUGAUAAAGAUACUUUACUACAAAUUUAUUUAAUUUUAUUAAAAGUAGUUCUCAUGUUUAGAACUUUUGCAAGAAAAUCAAAUUGUACUUUUACUCUACACUAUGGAUAUUCUUGCUCAUCGUCGCUAUAAGCUUGAUAACCUUAUCUUCUUCAUUCUCAUCCUCAUCUGUUUUCACAAGGUGCUUUAAUGGAUCAAUCCAAAAUUUGUUCUUAAUAAGAUCUGCAAGCUGAUCACCAUACUUCAAUUCAUUUUUCUCCUUUCUGCUAUGAAACCAAUUAAAGAAACUCAACUCAUACGAACUCUGCUCAUGCACGAGCCCAUCAUUCCAUCUGGGACGAGCUACAUUGGGCAUACUUUUUCCCUCAUUCCAUCUGGGACGAGCUAGAUUUGAGAAGUUUCCCGCGCUCAUCAUACACCUCUUUCAUUUUCACGUUGUAUUUCUGCGCUAAUCUCAGAAUUGUAGCCCUCACAUUCUUAUCAAUCUAAAAUCAUAAUUAUCACAUUUUAGUUAAAUUAAAUAAAAAUGAUAAAACACUCUAAAAAUACUCAUCACAUAACCCAUAAACAAGAGUCAAUAUAUAUUUUUUUAUUUUAAUUGAGUUGGGUCUUAGGGUUCACCAAAAUCAAAGAGAGUGGCUAGCAUUACACUUGAUUACAGGAAAGGUAUACGCUAAUAAGUAUCUUAAGAGAAUUGUUUAAGGAAUCUAUUAAAGAAAAUCGUGUUUUGAAAAUACAAGUCAAACAAUUGACAUAGUCAUAAAUACAUGGUUUUCUUUGCAAAAGUUAAUUCUUUUGUGGAUAUAUAUAAGGUGAAUUUUAUAGUUCAUCUGAUGCAUUUAACUCCAUAGAGAGUGAAUCCAUGACAUAUCAUGUCCCUUCUCAUUGUGAAAUGAAUAAUUCGUAAAUAUAUCUCACUUUUAACAUAAACUACAUUACAACCUUGAAAGAAUUCUAAAGUGUGUAGAUAGUGUGAUCUUGAUUGUCUGUUUAGAAUAUCUUCAAGUACAUAGCAAGAUGUAUUCACAUGACGACCGAAGUGGGCAAAUGUUGUGGUUGAGAGCAUGAUCUAUCUUCUCCAAGUCUGUCUCACUUGCAUGGUAGUGGUAAGUUAGUCAAACAUGUAAAUGAAAUGGAUGAUGAUCUGAGCAACCUCUUCGAAAAUGUUUGUUCUUUGAAAAAUUUGUCCAAAUUUAAAAUUUAAGUUGUUUUGUUACUUGAGGGCAUGCAAUAGUUUAAGUUUAGGGCUGUGAUGACAGAUCAUUUUAUGUUAUUUUCAAUAUGUUUUUUAGUCAAUUUAAUAGAAAAUCGAGUCAAUAAAAAGGAGUUUUAGAGAAGUUGCUCUUGAUUUAAGGGACAUUUUAUAAUAUUUUAUAUCUAGUCAUGUAAUUAUAGUUCUUCCCUGAACCAAGCAAUUCAUAGGUGUUUUUGUUGUAUUCUAUUAAAAAUUGUUGGAACAAAAUGUGUUUAACAUUACCCUUUAAGAGUUUUGAUGAUAACAAGGUAUUAAAAAUUGUCAAUUGGAUAUGCUAAUAUUUGUUCAAGCGUACAGGACCAAAGACAAAAAUUUGACAUCUUAAAAAGGUUCUGGAAGAACAAAAGAGAGCAAAGGAAUCAGCAAAAAGGAAGCUUGAAGCAUCUGAAGAGAAGCGCUCCUGAAGACAAAAGUGCUUCUGAAGUGAUGACGUCAUCAGAAGCAAGUUCAUUAGAAGUUGAUCACCAGAAGCUCUAGUUCAUCAGGAGAUGCAAGACUUAAAGAUUCAAAGGCUGUUCAAUGGAUUCAGUAUCGUCUAAGCAUUGCAGAAGACUGAAAGAGUGAAGCAACGACUAAUUUGAGAGGAUUUGAAAGCAUUGUAUGCCUAUUCUUUGAAAAGCGUUGACAAAGUACAAUUGUACAAAGUGUACAAUGUAACACCCCGUUUUCCCAAUAUACAAAUUUCUUAAACAUUUAUCAGAGUAAAAAAACCAUAAACGGGAUAUCACAUAAAAACGUAAUCCAAAAACAGUUAAAUAAUAAUUUAACUUCCACAUAAUAUCUUAACAUAGCAGCGGAAUAUUAGUUCAUAAACCAUAAAUCAGUUUGGCANNNNNNNNNNNNNNNNNNNNNNNNNNNNNNNNNNNNNNNNNNNNNNNNNNNNNNNNNNNNNNNNNNNNNNNNNNNNNNNNNNNNNNNNNNNNNNNNNNNNCUAUAGGUAAACCCACUAGAUCGGAGUAAGCCUCGAGAGUAGGAACCAACUGGAAGUCCGGGAAAGUGAAGCAACGGAAGCUCGGAUCAUAAAAUUGCACUAGGGUGUGCACUAGCUUCUCUUCCACAUCGGUUCGGAGCAAAGUAAGCAAUCCCCCAUACCGGAGUCGGAACCCUGUUUGACUCUUGACCUUAAGUGCCAACUCUCUCAAACUAACCAAAUCCACUUCCUUGAACUUGUAGCACUUAGUCUUCUUCAUACCUGUGAUUAUUUACAAAAAUUUCCAUUUGUUUAAACCCUUCGAUGAAUGCAUGAAAAAUGUUUAUGCAUGUAUGCAUGUAUGCAUGAUUGUGUUGUUAAAGAACAAAGUGGGUUGAGUUUCAAAGUAACGGGGCCACGGAUGGACACGGCGUCCGGUGAACUAAGGCUUUGGAUAGUAGUAACCAAGGUUCUAACACAGUUCCCAAACUGCAACCUCUCUCACAUAUAUCAUGGUAGUACAGGACGACACCCGUUCCAUGAUUAUUUGUGAGAAGGUCUAGUUUGAGUGUAGUAUCGCGUGACGACUAAAGUUUGAGACAACACUCAAUUUAGCCACCGCACUACGUCCUAAAAAGGCUAGGAUGGGUUUGGUAACUACGGUUCAUAGCUUCGUCGAACAAUUGAAAGUGAAGUGCCUAAGCAUGACAACACACGCCGACAAUAUCACCUUCAAAAUGCCUCAGCUAUGUGAGAUUGAUCGCAUAAUCCAAUACACGAGGCAACCCCCGGAUCGAAUUGUCGAUUAUAUCUCUACCUAAACAUAAGUUCACUCAGCCCGGGUAUAGGACUUUUGAUAUUCUCACCCCACACGUCAAAUGAAAAUAAACAAGUAUUCACAUAUGUAAGCAAUAAAACAAAGCGUAAAUAUAAACUAAGGAAAACUAGGCGCGACCCGCUAAAAAGAAUCCCCAGUGAAGUCGCCAUUUCUGUUAUCAUGGUUUUUGGGUGCCAAGCCAUUAAUUGGACUUGAACCUUUCGACCGUUGAUAUCUCUCUUUUUUCUUGGGAAGGGUAAAAGGAGAAAAACCCUUAAAAAGUUUCUAGAUUCCGGGGGUCGUUUUCGCUACGGGAAGGUGUUAGGCACCCGGAGCGAUUAUGGUAUUCCAUAAGAACCGCUCUCCUAAGUUUAUUUCUACGCUUUAGUUUUUAUUGCUUAUUUGUAAAAAAGAAGGUGUGAUUAGUUAAGAAUGGGGGGUGAGAAGAAGUAGAAUUUGAUUUUUUUAUUUCGGCUUGGAUGAGUUUUGACUCAUUGCCUACGUACCCUUUUAAGGGAUCAAAACCGUUCGUAGUUCACUCUCAAAAAUGGUUUUUGUUUUUGUUGGUUGAUUUUAAGUUUUGAAAAAAAGAUUUUGAAGAAAGGAGAUGAGAGGCCUCAAGGGCAUAAGAUUUGGAAAGUGUGAGGUGGAAUUAGUCAUUUUGCAAAAAUAAAGUCCAAGGAGGAUUAAGAUUUAUUGAAAAUUUUACUUAAGAAAAUAAAGGGGGAAAUAAGGAGUUUUGACUCCAUUUUAUUUUCAAAAAGGUUUUCAAGUGUUAUUUGCAUGUUUUGGAAAAAAGUUGAUUUUUAUCUAAGUGUUUAAGCCUAAGCAUUCAUUUAACCAUACAAUCCUAUGCAUACAUCUAAGGUGAGUGUGUGCGUGCCGGUGCGUCAUAGUGUCCAUAGUCCAUAUUACAACAAUUGCCUAAAUACAUUCUAUGGCCCCUUUGCCAAGCUACAAACCAAUGAUAACAAAUUACAUCACUAAAUGGAUUAAAACUUGCAAAAAAUGAAUACUAAACUAAAGGAAGUGAAGGAGAUAGUGGUGACAUGGAGAAAUGCUCAUGAAAUGAAUGGAACAAAAGAAGUGAGAUGAUUAGUAAAAUAAAGCAUAGAAUAAAAGAAGUGCACAAAAAAAAAAAAAAUAUUAAGAGGAAAGACAUAAAAGAGACUAAUAAAGUGACAAAAUGUGCAUGAAAGUGGUCAUAAGGCUCUAGCAUGUGUAUGACCUAUGAUCCCUUCAUUAUGGCAAAUUUUUAGAAGUCUUGCUUUGUGCCAUAAGGUGAGAAUUAAUAGGACAUAUUCAAGCUAAAGCUCAUGACACAUUUUCAAGACAUUUUGCACUUUAUUUAUUAUUAAAACACAUAUUAAUUGCAAGGCAAGAAGAAAAAAUGAGAUUCAAAUUCACAAGCAGCAAGCCACACAUAGGAUCAGCAACAAAUUUAUCAUAAAAUUGCAUUUCAAAAGUUCAAAUCACAUGUCAACAAUUCAUGGGGGAUAUGCUACUAAAAAUGCACAAGUUUAUGUCCAAACACACUAGUUAACCAAGAAAUAUCACAUGUUUUUUUUAUCAUUUUAAAACCAUUGAGAAAUAUAGAAAAAAGUCAUGAAAAUACAUCAAGAAACAUGUGAUAAUUUUUGGAGAUUUUUAGAGAAAAAAUUUAAGCAUGCAGGGGUUCAAACAGCAAAGAAAAAUGGUACAGAUAGCAGAAAAUAAACAAAAACGUAAAGAAAGACUAAGCCCAAACCAAAGCCCAAAACUACAAGGUCCGGAUGCACAGGGAGCGUUGGAUUGAUCUAGGGAGGGAAACCCUAGAUCCAACGCUCAGGAUGGAAGGGAUUGGACCGGUCCUGAACCGGUCCGGUUCAGUUGUCUAUAAAAAGGAAAGAGCACCGGUUUGAUUCAUUUUUCACUCCCCUUUCUCUCUCUACACUCAGAGCUUCUCUCUCUUCUCUCUUCUCUCAACUCACCGGAUUCUGGCAUGGCACGCCGGAGAGGAUGAAGGACCGGCCGGAACCUUCAUAGGUCGUCGGAAACUUCAUCUUCUCCGGUGAAGAUCUAGGGUUCCGCCGUGAAAUUUUUCAGAAACUUAUGAUUUUUACAUCUUUUGAUUCGUCCUUUAACCCUAAACACGAAUCCAGCAAUUAUUUUCUCAUACACAGCUUGAAACGACGUAGAUCUGAAAAUUUCCGUACGGUUUUGAAAUUGAUUUUUUUGAUUUCUUUUGAAAGAAAACGUUUAGAUCCUUAAGGAUCUACAUCGUUUCGUCGCUUUAAUGCUUUUCUGGUACUUGUUCUUGCUUUCAAAACUUAGAUCCUUAUGGAUCUAGGUUUUGUGUUUACGGUUAUGACUUUCUUUGAAUUCUGGAAAUUUCUUGAUAUGCUUUUGCUUGCGUGAUUGUUUACCGGUUCAAACUAUGAUUAACACCUUUGAAAAAGAGAUUAUGAGUUUUACCUAAGGUUUUGGUUGAAACCUUUAAUGGAGGAAAUCUUUGGAAAUCUUGAUUCUGUUCUUGAUGAUUUUGAUGAUUUUGCUUGCUUUUGGACCGAAAAUAAAUCGGUUUACCGGUUCUGCUUCUUCAUCUUCUCUGAUUCUUUCUCUACUUCUUUCUCUGUGAUUUCGUGUUUGAGCUUGCUUCAAUGCUUCUUGGAUCUGCGUGAAAAAUCCCUAUGAUCAGUGCUUGAGCUUGCUUCAAUGUGAGCUCGCACCUUGAAUUGUAGGAGAAUUCUUCAAUCCGGUGAUGAAGAUUCACACGAAUCUCUGAGGAUUGAUGCGAAAAUUGUUGAUUCUGAUGAAUUUUUGAGUUUCUGGAAAACGGUUAGGGUUUUUGUUCUUGGUGUUCUUGAGAAAUUCUGAGAAAUUUUCUGUUUCUGAUCCAACUGAAUGGAGAGAGAGAAUCUGAUUGUGUUUAUGAGUUGGCGUGUGAUCCUUGGCUCUGAAUCUGACUCACUGUAUUUAUAGCUGACAUGUGUGCAUUGGAACCAAUAGGAAACUGACAUGUGGCAUUGGAAUGAGAAAGGGGGCGCUGCCCUAUAAUUCUGACUUGAAGGACCUGUUUGCAAUUUUAAAAGAAAUAGGGACUAAACUGCAAAAUUAAAAACAGAACUAAAAAAAUAUAAAAAUUGGACAAUUUGGACUUAAAUGUAAUUUUAACAAAAUUAAGGGACUAAAAUGCAAAGUAAAAAUAAAAUGAAUUAAAAUUUGUAAUUUUGACCAAACGUAAAGUGAACCUAAAAUAAAAUCAACAAACGGACUAAAACGAACCAAUGGCCUAAAUGAGGUACUUCAAAGUAACCUCUCUAUGCCAAAAUUUUGUGUGAAAUGACCAAAAUGCCCCUAGGGCUAAAAUUGACCUAAACAGACUCAAAUUGACUUAACACUGACUCAGAUGCAAGUUUGAAAUGAAUUUAACAAGAUUUUCUGACGAAAGGUUAACAAACAAUCUGAAAAAGACUCAGAGACAGUCACAAGGAUGAAAAUGGGUCCCACUGCAGGAAAUGACCAAAAUACCCUUCUGUAUGACCUUUUUUGCAAAUUUUGAAAUAAACUGUAGAAAAAGCAAUGUAAUGAUUCAGAGACACUUUUGAAUGACUUAUAAGACAAGUAAAGACAUUUCAAAAGGUUUUAUGCAAGAAAAACAUAGAUGAAAUUGUGAUUGAAAAUACUGCGAGGCAGAGACAAAUUGAACUGUGCAGUUGAAAUUUGAUAACUGACAAAGUUUGAAAUGAAAUUGGGCCCAGUAUUUUUAGGUCCAAAAACAGGGUAUAACAGCUGCCCCUAUUUAAGUUUCUUUGUCUGGACAGUCAAGAGACGGAGUCUUUGGCUUGACAGGACGAAGAUACUUAAAUAUUAGCAUUUGCACUGUGUUUGGACGUAAAAAUACGCCUACCCAUUUUCAAAUAAUAUGCAUGCCAUGCAUCAUUUGGAUUAUGAAUGCAAGACCUCAUGGGAAUUGGAAUUAACAAAAUAUGUCGUAUCCAUUGCGGGAUUGGUAGACAUUGACAAAGAUAGAGUAACGGGAAACUAGAAGCAAGCUGGACAGGUACAAGCUGUUUUUGGAUUCAAACUAGCCACUUGACCGGGAAUGAAACAAACAGACAACUGCGAGUUGUUCUUAUGGAUUCGAACUAGUAACUUCACAGGGGAUAGAGGUUACUGGACAAACAUGAGUUGUUCUUAUGGAUUCGAACUGGUAACUCACUUGGGGAUAUUUGAAAGUGCGAGUUGUUCUUAUGGAUUCGAACUGGUGACUCGACUGGGAACACGUAAAAUUGGCAGGUACGAGUUGUUCUUAUGGAUUCGAACUGGUGACUCGACUGGAAAAGGAGAAAAUUGACAAGUACGAGUUGUUCUUAUGGAUUCGAACUGGUGACUCGACUGGAAAAGGAGAAAAUUGACAAGUACGAGUUGUUCUUAUGGAUUCGAACUGGUGACUCGACUGGAAAAGGAGAAAAUUGACAAGUACGAGUUGUUCUUAUGGAUUCGAACUGGUGACUCGACUGAAACCAAGGCAAAUAGACAGGUGCGAGCUUGUUCUUGGAUGCGAACUGGUUACUCCACUGGAGACAAACAGAUAGAUAGGUACAAGCUGCUCUUGGAUUGAGCUAGUCACUUGACCAAACGGAAACAUAUUGACAGGUACAAGCUGCUCUUGGAUUGAGCUGGACACUCGACCGAUAACAUAAGCAAAUUGAUAGGUACAAGCUGUUCUUGGACUUGAACUAGCCACUUGACCAAACAGAAACAUAUUCACUGGGGAUUAGUUUGUUUGACAAAAUAUAGAUUGAGAUUGACUUGACGUCGAUUUGAUUUGAAAGGUAGAAAUUGAGACUGAUGUUGACAUUGGAAAUGCGAUAUGCAUGGAUGAUAUAACAGUUUCAUUAAAUGCAUGGGUACGCAAUAUGCAUGAUUAUGCAUGUAUGAAUGCUUGUAACGCAUGACUGUUGGCAGUUUGUAGGCACGACUUCACGGGGAAGACAAGACAUUAGAGUAUUGGGCACAUAGUGGCUCGUGCUAUAUUACACAUUCUUGGAAAUCCUCUUUGGAGAUGACGUCGUUGGGAGACGUGUCGGAACCAUAGCUGAGGGCAGGUAGAUAUGCAACUUGCUGGAGAUAGAGUCUUGGAAGACCUGACUGGGGAAAAUGCCGUUGUGCUGGGCAUUUCAGUGCUGGGUAUGUUGUAGACAUCGCAUCUGUGGUCAAUGCUUUUUGCAUGUUAUAUUCUCAAUUUCAUUCAUUCAUUUUUUGCAUCCCAUUUUUGCCUGGAUCGCCCUUUCGGGUUUUCGAUCCACCAGGGAAAUAAAUUCUUUUCAAUGCCCCAUUUUUGCCUGAACUGCCCUUUCGGGUUUUCAAUCCAGCGGGGUGCUCAUUCUUGCCUAAGCCGCCCUUCCGGGUUUUCAACUUAGCGAGCCUUUUCAUUUUCAUGCAUUUUUGUUCUGUUUUUUCAUUCUUGCCAUUGACCACAGACUAUCCUGGAGGAGAACCUGCUUGUAACACAUAUUGAAAUAGACAUCAACAUACUCUCACUCAUGCAUGUUUCAUUUGAAUGUACCCUGUUGCUCAGGUUUGCUUUUCAAAAUAGACAAAAGUUUUCAAUUUUCAAAAUGUUUGUUUCAACCAUUGUCAUUAUCAAAAUAGAAAGAAAAUGUUUUGUAUAUAGCUUAGAAAAUAGAAGAAAAUAGAGUUUUCAAACAAAAGCAAAGGCUCAACUUGAUGUAUAAGAGUGGUGGUCAGCCAAAGGCAUGACUCCACGGAUUCACAAAGCUUGGAAAAUGGUAAUUUUAUUGGUUGGUGGUACAUUGAACACGGUAACCACUACAGUUCUUAGAAACUUUGAAUUCACAAGUACAGAAGCUUUUGAUGAAGAUAGGCAUUAACAGCUGCAGAUGCCCCAAGGGGGACGGCGGUUGGCCAGAUAUAGUUACUUGCCUUUCAUUUCAAUCUCGUUUUUGCAUGAACCGCCCUUUCGGGUUUUCGGCUCAUCGAGACGCUCAUUCUUGCCUGAGUUGUGUACAAUCUCAGCGAGCUUUUCAUAUUUGUUUUUUGUCCCUUAUUUUUGCCUGGACCGCCCUUUCGGGUUUUCGAUCCACCGGGAAGCGCAUUUUUGCCUAGGCCGCCCUUUCGGGUUUUCGACCUACCACGCUGUUCUUUUCAUAUUUCUAGGCAAAGUAUUUCUUGACUAUAUCGGCAUUCACUGGAUUUGGAAGUUCCACACCAUCCAUGUGUGUAAGGAUUAAAGCACCACCGGAGAAGGCCUUCUUGACAACAUAAGGACCUUCAUAGUUAGGCGUCCACUUGCCCCUUGGGUCGGGUUGCUGGCUUAUCCUCCUUUUCAAUACAAGUUCCCCUACCUUGAAUUCUCGAGGAUGGACUUUCUUGUCAAAAGCAGUCUUCAUUCUUGCUUGAUAUGACUGUCCACGAGCCAUGGCAUCCAUACGUUUUUCCUCAAUCAAAUUCAACUGAUCAAACCGGCUUUGGCACCAUUCAGCCUCAGAUAACUUUGCUUCCAUGAUCACACGGAGGGAUGGGAUCUCCACUUCCAAAGGAAGAACUGCUUCCAUACCAUAUACAAGAGAGAAAGGGGUUGCCCCGGUUGAACUGCGCACGGUAGUGCGGUAGCCAUGCAGAGCAUAGGGUAACAUCUCAUGCCAGUCCUUGUAAGUGGUUACCAUCUUCUGGACAAUUCUCUUGAUAUUCUUGUUGGCGGCCUCAACUGCACCAUUCAUCUGAGGUCUAUAAGGAGAAGAGUUAUGAUGCUCGAUUUUGAAUUCUUCACAAAGAGCUUGCACCACAUUGUUGUUCAGGUUGGUACCAUUGUCGGUAAUAAUCUUGCUGGGAACACCAUAUCGACAGAUGAUGUUGUUCUUGAUGAACUUAGCUACCACUUGCUUGGUCACAUUGGUAUAAGAUGCUGCUUCGACCCACUUGGUGAAGUAGUCAAUUGCCACUAAGAUGAAACGAUGACCAUUUGAAGCCUUCGGUUCAAUCCUUCCAAUCAUAUCGAUGCCCCACAUUGAGAACGGCCAUGGGGAUGACAUAACAUUGAGAGCGUGCGGAGGCACAUGAAUCUUAUCAGCAUAGAUUUGACAUUUGUGGCAUUUUCUGGCGUAUUGGUAGCAAUCAUGCUCCAUGGCCAUCCAGUAGUAACCUGCCCGUAGCAACUUCCUUGACAUAGUAUGCCCUGUAGCAUGGGUCCCGAAGCUACCGUCAUGUACAUCAUGCAUUAACUGCUCUGCUUCAUGUUCAUCAACACAUCUUAACAAUACCAUGUCAUAGUUCCUCUUGUACAGAAUAUCUCCAUUUAACAGGAAUCUACUGGCCAAUCUUCUCAAGGUCUUCUUGUCUUGUUUGGAAGCACCUGACGGAUACUCACGGCUCAGCAAGAACUGUUUGAUGUCGUAGUACCAGGGUCUAUAGUCAACCACAUUUUCACCAGCCUGAUCGAUCACAUCCCCAAUAGCAAACACAUGUGAAGGUCUUUCAAGGCGUUGCACUUUGAUUAUUGGCACAUCAUUCCAAUGGUUUACUCGAAACAUGGAGGAUAGAGUAGCAAGAGCAUCAGCCAUUUGGUUCUCAUCACGAGGAAUAUGGUGCAGCUCAACCUUUGUAAAAUAUGUCAGCAAACGUCUCGCAUAAUCACGAUAAGGAAUCAGCUUAGCAUGGUGUGUCUCCCAUUCACCCUUUAUCUGAUUGAUGACGAGCGCAGAAUCUCCAUAGAUGUCGAGGUGUUUGAUUCUCAUGUCAAUUGCUUCCUCGAUCCCAAAGAUACAUGCCUCAUACUCAGCCAUGUUGUUGGUACAUUCAAACAAAAUUCGGGCGGUAAAAGGGAUAUGAUGCCCCUGCGGGGAUACAAUGACUGCCCCAAUUCCUUUACCAUAAGCAUUGACAGCACCAUCAAAGACUAAACCCCACCUGCUAUUGGGAUCUGGACCUUCAUUAAUCAACGGUUCUUCGCAGUCUUUUGAUUUCAAAUACAUGAUCUCUUCAUCGGGGAAGUCGAAUUCAAUUGGUUGAUAAUCAUCAAGAGGUUGGUAAGCAAGGUGAUCGGCAAGAAUGCUACCUUUGAUUGCCUUUUGAGUUUUGAACACAAUAUCAUAUUCAGACAAAAGCAUCUGCCAGCGUGCAAUCUUCCCAGUAACAGCAGCUUUCUCAAAGAUAUACUUUAUCGGAUCCAUUCUGGAUAUCAGCCAAGUUGUAUGAUUCACCAAGUAAUGACGCAGGCGUUUGGCAGCCCAAGCUAGAGCACAACAAGUCCUCUCAAGCAUUGUAUACCGAGUUUCACAGUCGGUGAACUUCUUGCUUAGAUAGUAGAUAGCAUGCUCUUUCUUUCCAGUUUCAUCUUGUUGACCAAGCACGCAUCCCAUGGAUUCAUCAAAUACUGCCAAAUACAUGAUCAAAGGCCUUCCUUCCACGGGUGGGACAAGGAUAGGUGGUUCCAGCAGGUAAUUCUUGAUGCUAUCAAAAGCUUCUUGGCAUUCAUCAUUCCAUACAACAGGCUGGUUCUUUCUAAGCAGCUUGAAGAUCGGCCCGCAGGUUGCGGUCAUAUGAGAUAUGAAUCGGGAGAUGUAAUUCAAACGCCCGAGGAAACCUCUGACUUGCUUCUCAGUCUGUGGAGCUGGCAUUUCUCGGAUGGCCCGGACUUUAUCAGGAUCGACUUCAAUGCCCUUUUGGCUGACAAUGAAGCCUAAUAACUUCCCGGAUCUGACGCCGAAUGUACAUUUGUUGGGAUUCAAUCGAAGCUUGUAUUUUCUCAACCUUUCAAACAUCCUUGUCAAAUACUCAACAUGUUGUUCCUCAUCUGUUGACUUCACAAUCAUGUCAUCCACGUAUACUUCGACUUCUUUGUGAAUCAUGUCAUGAAACAAAGUAGUCAUUCCCCUUUGGUAGGUAGCACCAGCAUUAAUUAGACCGAAUGGCAUCACUUUGUAGCAGAAAGUACCCCAUGGAGUGAUAAAAGAUGUCUUUUCUCUAUCUUCAGGAGACAUUUUGAUCUGAUUAUAACCGGAGAAACCGUCCAUGAAGGAGAACACCUUAGACUGAGCAGUAUUAUCAACAAGCACAUCAAUAUGAGGUAACGGAAAGUUGUCUUUCGGACUGGCUUUGUUCAGGUCUCUGAAGUCAACACACAUCCGGACUUUACCAUCCUUCUUUGGCACAGGCACAAUAUUGGCAACCCAUUCAGGGUACUCAACUGUCAUGAGGAAACCUGCAUCAAUCUGCUUUUGGACUUCAUUCUUGAUCUUGAGGGCCAUGUCUGGAUGAGUCCUUCUCAAUUUCUGCCUGACGGGAGGACAUUCAGGCUUGGUGGGGAUCCGAUGCUCCACAAUCGUAGGGUCUAGACCUGGCAUAUCUUCAUACGACCAUGCGAAAAUAUCCGGAUAUUCCCGGAGGAGUUGGAUAAUCCUCUUUUUAACCCCUUCCUCUAGAGUAGCACCAAUCUUGAUUUCUCGCUUGUUUUCCUCGGUACCUAUGUUGAUAAGCUCAAUCUCUUCUUGGUGAGGCUGAAUGGCUUUCUUCUCUUGCUCAAGUAACCGAGUAAUCUCAUAUGGUAUGUCAUCACCUUCCUCAUCUUCGGCUUCAUACACAGGGAAUUCAAAAUUUGGAGGAACCGUAGGAUUACUGUGUUCAACGGGUUUAUUAUGGUUCAACCUGCAUAUAAUGAUUGCUCCAGCACUUUCAACAAGGUAUUCCUGUGAGCCUCAGAGCUCAAGAGUAAUGACAAGACAGAUAUCUUCGAAGGAGUCUGCAGCAACUGAUCAACGAUCUUGUAGUCGCUCCUCUUUAUUAUUCUCAGAAUCUCAUCUAAAUUCGAAUCCUCUAUAGAUUUGCCGGACUGGUUCACAUCUGUAGCAAUGGGUGAAACCACGGUUGGAGUUGCUUCUUCAACUGGUGGAAUGGUCGGCGUAGCUACCUUCUUCUGAAAUAAUGGCGGACGAACCUUCCCGCUUCUUAGUGCUGCAGAAGUCCCUUCGGCAAUAUUGCUUACUGUGGCAAAGGAGGCUAGAGGCACCUCUACUCCAUUUUCUAUCAUAGUAGCAUUGUACUUGUAUGGCACUGCCUUGUCCGAAACAUAAGGAAUUGGUCCUGGCAGCCUUAUCACCAAAGGUUCAGCAUUCUUCUUCAAAGGUACACUCUUGACAGGCGGAUCGUGAAAAACUGGCACAAUCACGCAAACAUCACUGACAGUCAGAAGAUUAUCAUUCAUCAAGCUUUGGAUGUCGUCUUGAACAGCAUGGCAACCCAAAGGAUCACGGAGGCAUCCUAGACACUUGGCAUGAUCAUGGCUGAACAGAGAAGCUUUGCACAGCUUGAUGUGUAGAGGCACCAGAGGAGUUGCGACGUUGCGGACAUCAAGUCUAGGAGCUUCCUCACACACUUCGAUCAUAUUCACAGCGGCAUGAUUUGGUAGCGGAUUGUCGAGGACAUGUGGAACAUUAUUCUCAAAAGUCAGCUUUCCCUGAUCAAUGAGCUUCUUCACGAUAUACUUCAAAGCAUAACACCCCUCGACAUCAUGACCUAAGGCACCUUGAUGAAAAUCACAUUUGAGAUCAGACCUGAACCUUGGAGGCAACGGAUCAGGUGGGGGCUUUCCUUGUCUAGUCGUGCAGUGUCCUCUCUGGAGUAAAGUUGGAAGCAACUCAGCAUAUAACAUCGGUAUAGGAGGAAAAGUUGGUCUGGUAUAUUGCUGCUGCUGUUGUUGUUGUUGUUGUUGUUGUUGAACCGGCAACUGUUGUUUCAUCUGUUGGGCAAUUGCAUUGACGGGCACUUGAGGUUGACCCGGUGGCAGGGGGUACUGAUGGUAAAACGGUGGGAAGAAAGGAUGCUGAGAAUACGGCAUGUAUGGGUAUGACGGAGGCAUUUGAGCUGCAUUGAUAGGAGCAACAGUAGUCAUUGAUUGACCGGCUCCAGCUGACACCAUCCCCACUUCCGUUUCUUUCUUCUUGUGGUGUCCAUUACCAUAUCUCUUCGACGCAUUCACAGAGGAUUCAGCUUUCUCAAACACAAUGAUUCCAUCCCUGACGGCUUCCUCAAGACGGGUUCCCAUAGUGACCAUCUCCGAAAAGUUGUUCGGGGCAGCGAUGAUCAUCCUCUCAACAUAAUCUUUCUUCAAGGUUUUUAAGAAUGUCUGGGUCAUUUCUUCUUCAUCUAAAGCAGGAGUGAUACGGGCAGCUGCCCCUCUCCACCUUUGCGCAUAUUCCCGGAAACUUUCCUCCUUUUUCUGAGAUAGGGACCUGAGAAACUCCCUAUUCGGCUUCAAUCGAGUGUUAAACCCGUAGUGGCUCUUGAAAGCAGUGGCUAGCUCAUCAAAAGUAUGGACAUCAUCUUUGCUCAGACUAGUAUACCACUCCGCAGCAUCUUCCAUCAGACUGUCUUGGAAGUAAUGGAUCAUAAGGGAAUCAUUGUCCUUGUAGUUGCCCAUCUUCCGGACGUAUUUGACAAUAUGAUUUUGAGGACAAGUCAGCCCGUUAUACUUGUCGAACUCCGGGACUUUGAACUUUUUAGGAACAUCCACUUUCGAUACUAAGCAGAGAUCCUGGGUUUUAAUGGAGUCUCAAUUUCCCCUGUUGGCCUUAAUUUCCCGUCGGAGCUCUUCGGCAAGUUCUGCCAUUCUCUCUUCCAUAGUUCCGGUUGUGGCAAUACUCCCGUGGUGCGCAUUAGCAUGGGCAAAUAGAGGCACCGCAUUCACAAUGGGCUCGGUAACAGUUGUUGCCGCUUGAGUCAAGGCGGUACUCACAGGAGUUAAGUUUGCCCCUGAGAUUGGGCCACUGUUGGUAGUACCAGAGGUCCCUGCCCCUGUAUUAGCAGUAUAGUACAGCGGAAGUCCGUAAGGAUACCCGGAUGGCAUGAUAAAGCGGGGAUCAGUUGUUACUGUAGGAGUCACAUUUGCAGCUGUAGAAACUACGGGAACUGGUUGUUCCUGAGCAGCCAACAGAGCAGUCAUAGCAUCAUGAGCUUUGGCCAAUUCCUCCCUUAAAGAUGCCAAUUCGGUACGAAGCUGCGUGUUCUCUUCUUCCAUAGCCCUUUUCUUUCUUCUGUAUUCUCUGGUUCGAUCGGUUCUAUUAGGUUCAUAAACUCUCUGAGCACGAGCCACUUUUCACACUGAGGCAGAGAAACCAGGAGAUAGUGAGCACCUGGAAGUCUUUGUGACCAAUGCAUGAUGCAUAUGAUGCAUGAUAUGCAAAUGCAAAUGCAAAAGACUUAUUAUUAUUUUUUUUUCGAAGGGUUUUUAAACAAAUUAGAAAUCUUGCAAAUAAUCAAAGCUACAUAGCAUUUUCAAAAGGAAGACUUUGAAACUUCAACAAGAUAAACAAAUGAAGCCCUCAAGCAUAGGAAGUAGUCGGAGGAUCAUCGGACUCGGAAUCUGAAUCACAGUAUCUGGCGAAGAAGUCUCGCCGUCCUCUGGCUCUCUUGGAAUCCCUCAUAAGCAGCUCGUCUUUCUCUUCCAAUUCCCUCCGGGCCUUAGCUAGUUCUUUCUUCAACAUUAGAUUCUCAUGAGUCUUCUGCUCAUCUCUACCAUCCAAAGUCAUGAUUAGAUUCUCGGCUUGAUUGUACCGAGCUUUCCAUACUUGCUUCUCACGACUCUCCAUGGCUAGGUGCUCCUGAUACAUAUCCUGAGUCGCAGGGAGCAGAGGUAGAGGCAUAGAUGGAGUAGACGAAGACACGUAUCUCAUAGCUGGAUAAGGCAUACCAAUCUCCUCAGCUCGAUCUAUCACCCACUGAGUGUAGGCCUCAUGAGCAACACCGGAUCUUACACCUAGAUGCUUCACACUCUUCCUUCGGACCUUAGACCAAGCAUCCAUGAAAGCUUUCCUUUGUCCGGUAGGAGCAUUCGUGUAGAAGAAGAACUCUGGAGAUGUAGCAAGAUUGAUGGGCUUCGACUUCAUAGGGAAACCAAACUGUCUCAUAGCAAGCUCGGGGUUGUAGUUGAUUCCUCCACGGGUACCAAGAAGAGGUACAUUGAGAAAGUCUCCACAACCCAUAAUGAUUUCCUUCACCUGAGCGGCAGGAGUGAGCCAGACGACCUCAUUAGGAGUGAGGGCCAUAAUCCGCUGCGAGUAGGACCAGUUCUCCGAGUUGUCAUGGAAGGAACUCGGAAGGUGCGAAAUAAACCACCUAUACAAAAGAGAUAUGCAGCAAAGAAUAUACCCACGGCCCUUGAGAGUCCUGUCAUGAAUGGCGUGGUAGGUAUCCGCUAGCAAAGUAGGAACCGGGUUCUUGGAAUGGAAGACCUCGAUAGCAUUCAUGUCCACGAAGUUGUCGAGGUUCGGAAAGAGAAUGAGCCCGUAGAUAAGCAAAGCAAGAAUAGCCUCGAGUGUAUCCUGACAAGUAGUACUGAGAUUAGCCUGCUCAAGAAGAUACUUUGAAGUGAACCCCCGGAUGUGAGACUUGGUAAUAAGAUGGUUGGAGACGUCGGAAGUCUUGAGGUAGAGAUCCUUAGCAAUAACCAGAGGAGUAAGAGAAGUCCCGGGACCGGUGAAAGGCGUCUUCUCGGCUAUAGGUAAACCCACUAGAUCGGAGUAAGCCUCGAGAGUAGGAACCAACUGGAAGUCCGGGAAAGUGAAGCAACGGAAGCUCGGAUCAUAAAAUUGCACUAGGGUGUGCACUAGCUUCUCUUCCACAUCGGUUCGGAGCAAAGUAAGCAAUCCCCCAUACCGGAGUCGGAACCCUGUUUGACUCUUGACCUUAAGUGCCAACUCUCUCAAACUAACCAAAUCCACUUCCUUGAACUUGUAGCACUUAGUCUUCUUCAUACCUGUGAUUAUUUACAAAAAUUUCCAUUUGUUUAAACCCUUCGAUGAAUGCAUGAAAAAUGUUUAUGCAUGUAUGCAUGUAUGCAUGAUUGUGUUGUUAAAGAACAAAGUGGGUUGAGUUUCAAAGUAACGGGGCCACGGAUGGACACGGCGUCCGGUGAACUAAGGCUUUGGAUAGUAGUAACCAAGGUUCUAACACAGUUCCCAAACUGCAACCUCUCUCACAUAUAUCAUGGUAGUACAGGACGACACCCGUUCCAUGAUUAUUUGUGAGAAGGUCUAGUUUGAGUGUAGUAUCGCGUGACGACUAAAGUUUGAGACAACACUCAAUUUAGCCACCGCACUACGUCCUAAAAAGGCUAGGAUGGGUUUGGUAACUACGGUUCAUAGCUUCGUCGAACAAUUGAAAGUGAAGUGCCUAAGCAUGACAACACACGCCGACAAUAUCACCUUCAAAAUGCCUCAGCUAUGUGAGAUUGAUCGCAUAAUCCAAUACACGAGGCAACCCCCGGAUCGAAUUGUCGAUUAUAUCUCUACCUAAACAUAAGUUCACUCAGCCCGGGUAUAGGACUUUUGAUAUUCUCACCCCACACGUCAAAUGAAAAUAAACAAGUAUUCACAUAUGUAAGCAAUAAAACAAAGCGUAAAUAUAAACUAAGGAAAACUAGGCGCGACCCGCUAAAAAGAAUCCCCAGUGAAGUCGCCAUUUCUGUUAUCAUGGUUUUUGGGUGCCAAGCCAUUAAUUGGACUUGAACCUUUCGACCGUUGAUAUCUCUCUUUUUUCUUGGGAAGGGUAAAAGGAGAAAAACCCUUAAAAAGUUUCUAGAUUCCGGGGGUCGUUUUCGCUACGGGAAGGUGUUAGGCACCCGGAGCGAUUAUGGUAUUCCAUAAGAACCGCUCUCCUAAGUUUAUUUCUACGCUUUAGUUUUUAUUGCUUAUUUGUAAAAAAGAAGGUGUGAUUAGUUAAGAAUGGGGGGUGAGAAGAAGUAGAAUUUGAUUUUUUUAUUUCGGCUUGGAUGAGUUUUGACUCAUUGCCUACGUACCCUUUUAAGGGAUCAAAACCGUUCGUAGUUCACUCUCAAAAAUGGUUUUUGUUUUUGUUGGUUGAUUUUAAGUUUUGAAAAAAAGAUUUUGAAGAAAGGAGAUGAGAGGCCUCAAGGGCAUAAGAUUUGGAAAGUGUGAGGUGGAAUUAGUCAUUUUGCAAAAAUAAAGUCCAAGGAGGAUUAAGAUUUAUUGAAAAUUUUACUUAAGAAAAUAAAGGGGGAAAUAAGGAGUUUUGACUCCAUUUUAUUUUCAAAAAGGUUUUCAAGUGUUAUUUGCAUGUUUUGGAAAAAAGUUGAUUUUUAUCUAAGUGUUUAAGCCUAAGCAUUCAUUUAACCAUACAAUCCUAUGCAUACAUCUAAGGUGAGUGUGUGCGUGCCGGUGCGUCAUAGUGUCCAUAGUCCAUAUUACAACAAUUGCCUAAAUACAUUCUAUGGCCCCUUUGCCAAGCUACAAACCAAUGAUAACAAAUUACAUCACUAAAUGGAUUAAAACUUGCAAAAAAUGAAUACUAAACUAAAGGAAGUGAAGGAGAUAGUGGUGACAUGGAGAAAUGCUCAUGAAAUGAAUGGAACAAAAGAAGUGAGAUGAUUAGUAAAAUAAAGCAUAGAAUAAAAGAAGUGCACAAAAAAAAAAAAAAUAUUAAGAGGAAAGACAUAAAAGAGACUAAUAAAGUGACAAAAUGUGCAUGAAAGUGGUCAUAAGGCUCUAGCAUGUGUAUGACCUAUGAUCCCUUCAUUAUGGCAAAUUUUUAGAAGUCUUGCUUUGUGCCAUAAGGUGAGAAUUAAUAGGACAUAUUCAAGCUAAAGCUCAUGACACAUUUUCAAGACAUUUUGCACUUUAUUUAUUAUUAAAACACAUAUUAAUUGCAAGGCAAGAAGAAAAAAUGAGAUUCAAAUUCACAAGCAGCAAGCCACACAUAGGAUCAGCAACAAAUUUAUCAUAAAAUUGCAUUUCAAAAGUUCAAAUCACAUGUCAACAAUUCAUGGGGGAUAUGCUACUAAAAAUGCACAAGUUUAUGUCCAAACACACUAGUUAACCAAGAAAUAUCACAUGUUUUUUUUAUCAUUUUAAAACCAUUGAGAAAUAUAGAAAAAAGUCAUGAAAAUACAUCAAGAAACAUGUGAUAAUUUUUGGAGAUUUUUAGAGAAAAAAUUUAAGCAUGCAGGGGUUCAAACAGCAAAGAAAAAUGGUACAGAUAGCAGAAAAUAAACAAAAACGUAAAGAAAGACUAAGCCCAAACCAAAGCCCAAAACUACAAGGUCCGGAUGCACAGGGAGCGUUGGAUUGAUCUAGGGAGGGAAACCCUAGAUCCAACGCUCAGGAUGGAAGGGAUUGGACCGGUCCUGAACCGGUCCGGUUCAGUUGUCUAUAAAAAGGAAAGAGCACCGGUUUGAUUCAUUUUUCACUCCCCUUUCUCUCUCUACACUCAGAGCUUCUCUCUCUUCUCUCUUCUCUCAACUCACCGGAUUCUGGCAUGGCACGCCGGAGAGGAUGAAGGACCGGCCGGAACCUUCAUAGGUCGUCGGAAACUUCAUCUUCUCCGGUGAAGAUCUAGGGUUCCGCCGUGAAAUUUUUCAGAAACUUAUGAUUUUUACAUCUUUUGAUUCGUCCUUUAACCCUAAACACGAAUCCAGCAAUUAUUUUCUCAUACACAGCUUGAAACGACGUAGAUCUGAAAAUUUCCGUACGGUUUUGAAAUUGAUUUUUUUGAUUUCUUUUGAAAGAAAACGUUUAGAUCCUUAAGGAUCUACAUCGUUUCGUCGCUUUAAUGCUUUUCUGGUACUUGUUCUUGCUUUCAAAACUUAGAUCCUUAUGGAUCUAGGUUUUGUGUUUACGGUUAUGACUUUCUUUGAAUUCUGGAAAUUUCUUGAUAUGCUUUUGCUUGCGUGAUUGUUUACCGGUUCAAACUAUGAUUAACACCUUUGAAAAAGAGAUUAUGAGUUUUACCUAAGGUUUUGGUUGAAACCUUUAAUGGAGGAAAUCUUUGGAAAUCUUGAUUCUGUUCUUGAUGAUUUUGAUGAUUUUGCUUGCUUUUGGACCGAAAAUAAAUCGGUUUACCGGUUCUGCUUCUUCAUCUUCUCUGAUUCUUUCUCUACUUCUUUCUCUGUGAUUUCGUGUUUGAGCUUGCUUCAAUGCUUCUUGGAUCUGCGUGAAAAAUCCCUAUGAUCAGUGCUUGAGCUUGCUUCAAUGUGAGCUCGCACCUUGAAUUGUAGGAGAAUUCUUCAAUCCGGUGAUGAAGAUUCACACGAAUCUCUGAGGAUUGAUGCGAAAAUUGUUGAUUCUGAUGAAUUUUUGAGUUUCUGGAAAACGGUUAGGGUUUUUGUUCUUGGUGUUCUUGAGAAAUUCUGAGAAAUUUUCUGUUUCUGAUCCAACUGAAUGGAGAGAGAGAAUCUGAUUGUGUUUAUGAGUUGGCGUGUGAUCCUUGGCUCUGAAUCUGACUCACUGUAUUUAUAGCUGACAUGUGUGCAUUGGAACCAAUAGGAAACUGACAUGUGGCAUUGGAAUGAGAAAGGGGGCGCUGCCCUAUAAUUCUGACUUGAAGGACCUGUUUGCAAUUUUAAAAGAAAUAGGGACUAAACUGCAAAAUUAAAAACAGAACUAAAAAAAUAUAAAAAUUGGACAAUUUGGACUUAAAUGUAAUUUUAACAAAAUUAAGGGACUAAAAUGCAAAGUAAAAAUAAAAUGAAUUAAAAUUUGUAAUUUUGACCAAACGUAAAGUGAACCUAAAAUAAAAUCAACAAACGGACUAAAACGAACCAAUGGCCUAAAUGGGGUACUUCAAAGUAACCUCUCUAUGCCAAAAUUUUGUGUGAAAUGACCAAAAUGCCCCUAGGGCUAAAAUUGACCUAAACAGACUCAAAUUGACUUAACACUGACUCAGAUGCAAGUUUGAAAUGAAUUUAACAAGAUUUUCUGAAGAAAGGUUAACAAACAAUCUGAAAAAGACUCAGAGACAGUCACAAGGAUGAAAAUGGGUCCCACUGCAGGAAAUGACCAAAAUACCCUUCUGUAUGACCUUUUUUGCAAAUUUUGAAAUAAACUGUAGAAAAAGCAAUGUAAUGAUUCAGAGACACUUUUGAAUGACUUAUAAGACAAGUAAAGACAUUUCAAAAGGUUUUAUGCAAGAAAAACAUAGAUGAAAUUGUGAUUGAAAAUACUGCGAGGCAGAGACAAAUUGAACUGUGCAGUUGAAAUUUGAUAACUGACAAAGUUUGAAAUGAAAUUGGGCCCAGUAUUUUUAGGUCCAAAAACAGGGUAUAACACCUACUUAUUUAAAAGAAAAUUUACUUAUGUUAAGAAUGGGGGGGAGAAAGUGUUUUGAGGUUUUAUUUUAGUGGACUUGGAGAGGUUUUGACCUCAUGCCUACAUACCCAUUUAAUGGAUCAAACUCCAUGUAGUUCUCUUUCAAAAAAUGUUUUUUUGUGUGUUUGGUUGAUUUUAGUUUUUGUUGGAAAAUGGUUUUGAAGAAGAGAAAGAGGCCUUAAAGGCAUAAGAGAGAAAAAUGGUGAAUGGUUGGUUCAAUUGUUAUUAAAAAAGUCUAAGUAGAAAUUAGGAUUCAUUUGGAUUUGUUUAAGAAAAUAAAAGAAGAAAUUCAAUGGAGUUUUGACUCCAAGAUUUGUUUGGAAAAAUUUGAGUGAUGGAAUUGGUUUAUUAUUUUUUUGAAAAUUGACAUUUGUCUAAAAAUCGCGUUUCCUAAGCAUACAUCUAAACGGUAAUCAUGCAACGUGUGUGCGUGUCGUUGCUUGUGUCGGUGUACAUCACUUAUAGUGUCCAUAGUCCUUUACAUUGAGUCCUAAAUACAUGCUAUGGUCUUGCAAGGAAUUAAAAAAAGAACUAAUCUAUCUAAAAUUAUUACAAACCCAAUUGAUGUAGAAAUGAAUAGAAAAUUGAUGCCAAAACUAUGGGAUGAAUGAAAUGUGAGAUGAAAUGGUUAGUAUCAUAAGGCAUAAAAAUAGUAGAAAGGUAAACAAAAUUGAAUAGAAUAGCAAGAGAGAAAAAAAAGUAAUGAAAUGAAAUAAAGUGGCAAAAUAUACCUAAAAUUGGUUAUGACACUUAGACAAUGCACAUGACCUAUAAUCCCCUCAUUAUAGCAAUGUUAAAGGGAUUUGAUUUUGAGCUAUAAUGUGGGAACAAAUAGGACACAUUCAAGCCAAGAAUCAUGACACAUUUUCAAAGAUAUUUUGCACUUUAUUUCUUGAUCAAAACACACAUUACUUACAAAACAAGAAAGAAAUGAAAAUCCAUAUCCACAAUCAGCAAAACAUACAUGUGAUCAGCAACAUAUUCACCAUGAAAUUACACACCAAUCAUCCACAUCACAUGCCAACAUUUUAUGAGAAAAUAUACCACAAAAAUACACAAACUUAGAUCAAACACAAAAUUAAUCAAGAAGAAAUAACACACACAUUUUUAUCAUUUUUUUAAACCACUGAAAAAUAUCACAAAAGUGUUAAAAUGUAUUAAGAAACAUAUAACAAUUUUUUUAGGAAUUUUUUGAGAAAAAAUUGAGCACGCAGAGGUUCAAUUAGCAAAAAAGCAGGGUGCAGAUAGCAGGAAAAUAGCAAAAAAACGAAAAAAGCAAAGCCCAAACCAACCAAAAGAUCCGGAUUCACCAGGAGCGUUGGAUUGAUCCAGGGAAGGAAACCCUAGAUCCAACGGCCAGGAACGAAGGGGAUUGGACCAGUCUUGGACCGGUCCGGUUCACUGGCUUAUAUAAGCAUAUGAGCACCGGUUUUUUCAUUCUUCUCUUGUCUUUCUCUCUCUUCUCUCAUCCUAGUGAGAGAAGCUCUCACUUCUCUCUUCUCCUCCCUCGCCGGAUUCUGGAAAAUGAAGAUGAACUUCAUCUUCUCCGGUGAAACUUGUUCCUCAGGCGUGGUGGUCGGCCGCCCCAAGGGCGGCGGCGCCGCCGCCGGAAGUUGAACAACUUUCUCCGUUUUCAAAAUUUUUUACACUUUUGGAAAUCCUUUUUCGUUCUAAACACGAAUCCGGUACUGGUUUUUUCAUGCAAGGUUUGAAUCGUUGUAGAUCUACACUUUUGUUCACGGUUUUGAAAAAGAUUUUUCUUGAUUCUUUUUAGUGUUUUGUUGAAUGAAAGCUUUGGAACUUUGCAGAUCUAUAACUGAUUCGUGUUUGUUGAUAUUUUUUGAGAAAGAAAGUGGAGUUUUACGUGUUUACCUGCGGUUUCAAUUGGAGAUUUUGAGCGAAGAUCUUCGGAAACACUUGAACUUGAUUCUGUUUGUUGAUUUUUGGAUUUGAAUCCGAAAAUAAAUCGGUUCUUCACUGAUUUGAUAUCUUCUUCUUCUUCACCGGUUCAAUCUUCUUCGUUUUCUUUCCCUCUUCUUCUCUGGUGCGAGCCUUUCGUGAUCGUGCUUGAGUCCGUUGCUAACAGCGAUGGAUUCGCACUGGAAUUGCGAAAGGAACGGUUCGAUGAUGACGAUUCAAGGACGAAUCGCUGAGAACUGUAGAGAAAUCCGAGAGAUUUUUGUCGAAUUCUGGUGAAUUUGUGAUGAAUCUGUGAGUUAGGGUUUGGGAUUGUUCUUGGUGUUCUUGGUGAUUUUCUGAGUUUUGAUCUAACUGAAUGGAGAGAGAAAACUGUGAUUCCUGUUUGUGAUGUGGCGUAUGGUUAAUGGAUCUGUGUGGCACUGUGCACUAUUUAUAAUCUGACAAGUGUGCUUGAGACCCAAUGAAAUGGUGACACCUGGACUUGUAUGAAAAUGGCUCGGCCUUGGACUGAAAUUUUGACUUAGGGCCCUUUCUGCAAAAAAGAAAAAUUGAAGGACUAAACUGCAAUAAUAAAAAAAUGGACUGAAAUCAAAUUUUUAAAUGUUUUGGACUAAAAUGCAAUUUUAGAAACUGUCUCAGGGACUAAAAUGCAAUAAAAAAUAAAAUUGGACUAAAAUUGGUAAAUUGGACAAAACGUAAAGUGAAACCAAAAAUAAAAUCAACAAAAGGACUAAAACGAACCAAUUACUGACAUGAGGUAUUUUAAAAUACCUCUCUGCCGAAAUUUUGACAGGAAAAGACCAAAAUGCCCCUAGGGACUAAACUGACUCAAACUGACUCAGAUGCAAUUUUUGAAAUGAUUUUUAAACAAAGGCUCAACAAUGAUUUGUACAGACAAAUUGAAAAGACUCAGAGGCAAACACAGGGACUAAAAUGGGUUCCACUGCAGGAAAUGACCAAAAUACCCUUUUGUAUGAUUUUUUGAAAUAAAAUGCAAGAAAAGUAAUGCGACGUUUCAAAGGGUUCUUAAAUGACUUGUAAUGUCAGAAAAGACAGAGGCAGUAAAAUACAUUUAAAAAGAGAGUAAAGAUUCAGAAUAAAAUAACAGAGAAUUGACAAAUAUCAGUGUUAAAAAUGAAAUUUGAACGAGUAUUUUUAGGUCCAAAAUUAGGGUAUAACAUUUUGUAUAUGUUUUUCUUUAAUAAUUUCACAGAUUUUACCCUCUUUAAUGAUGGUAAUUAAAAUAAACAUAGCGCGCUAAAUAAUAUUAUUUUGAUUUACUUCUUUGUCUUUAUUUCAUAAUAAUAAACUUACCGUUACUUUAGAUAAUUAUAGGAUACGUCCUUGUGAACAUAGUUCAGCUGAUUUGAACAAUGCAUAAUAUAUGCAAGGUCCAUGGUUCGAACCCCGGCCACCAAAAAAAAAAAAGAUAAUUAUUGGUUACAAUGAAAUACUUACAUUAAAUAAAUAAUAAAUUCAACAAAUUUUAGUAUAAUUUAAUACUAUCAAAAUUGAUUCAAUACAUAAACGACAUAUCCCCUAAAAAAAGUACAUAGAUGAUAUAUAUAAACAAUGUAACAUACAAUUUUUUCAAAUAGCGAAUAUGAAUUUUUAUUAUUAUUUUGAUACAGCUUAUAAGGCUUUCACUAAAGUAAUCCAUGGUCAUUUUUAACAUAAAAUCAGAGAAAAAUACUUUUAUGUCAAAAGUGUUUUACGAAAUGAUGACCUGAAUCAGAUAUUAUACACUUUGUGAAACAAAAAACAAUAUGAAUUAGUGUAUAAGCAUUUAUUUUCCAUUGCAAUAUCAUUUACAAUUAAUGGCAUGUUUGGAUGCGUGUCGAAAUUACCAAUCUCGCGUUUUGAUGUCAAUUUCAACGCAAUUUUAAUAAGCUGCAUAUUUGAGCUUCACACUAAUAAAUGCACAACUGCAUUCACACCACCACUGAACCAUUUCUUACCUUCUCUUUUUGGUUAUUUUGUUUUAUAAGAGGUUGCAUAGAAUUUUCUAGAAUAAAAUUAAUAAGUUAAAGAGACAUAGUUUGCCUCAUAUAAUUGUCAAGAAUAAUCUUUAUUUCAUUGUAUAAGAGGGGUUAAAGAAGGGGUAGAGUGAAAGACAAUAAUGCAGAGUUGUAAGACACAGGAACAUGCAAUAACUUUUCUUUAUAUCCUUUUGUUACUAUAAGCAUUAAGAAUCUUGAGUAAGAAUCUUUACGGUCGAUGUUACGAUUAUAAGACUGGUGUUAGUCACACUCCAAAAAAAAAUAAGUUACAUCUAAAUUUAUUUACAAUUUUACAAUAAUACCAAAAUUGCCCUCUUCAUGUAAAUUUUUAAAAACUCAUCUUUUAUGAUCAUUCUGAACCCUUACCCCCUUUCAUCCACAAAUGACCAUAGAUGUGCAACCAAUAUCUAAAUCAACAUAUUUGUUAUUGAUCUGUACUAUAUUCAUAAAGGUUAGUGAAUUUCAUGAAUUUCAUUUUCGAUGAGUUUCUAUUUGUUUAUUGUUUAUUUUGGUAUGAGAUAUGCCUCUCAAUUUGAUUUUAAUUGAGAGGUUAGUGUAAAUUAAGUUUACGUGUAUGUAUAUAAAAGGGGUUAGUGUAGUUUACGUAUGUAUGUUAAUGUAAAUUCAAGUUUACGUAUGUUCAAUUUAGGUUAGUGUAAAUUCAGUUUACUUACGUUCAAUCUAGGUUAAUGUAAAUUAGGUUUAUUUAUGUUCAAUUUAGGUUAAUGUAAAUUUAGUUUACGUAUGUAUAUUAGAGGUUAGUGUAAAUUCAGUUUACUUACGUUCAAUCUAGGUUAAUGUAAAUUCAGUUUACUUAUGUUCAAUCUAGGUUAAUGUAAAUUAAGUUUGUAAAUUCA